This 325-nucleotide ribosomal RNA is filed under the name uncultured bacterium. RNAcentral describes it as "bacterial SSU rRNA". It matches the Rfam family "Bacterial small subunit ribosomal RNA", at positions 28 to 355 of the family's 1533-position model. The record is from RNAcentral.
GACGAACGCUGGCGGCGUGCCUAACACAUGCAAGUCGAACGGGACCAGGGGCAACUCUGGUUCAGUGGCGGACGGGUGCGUAACACGUGAGGAACAUGACCUUGGCGGGGGAGUAGCCGGCCCAACGGCCGGGUAAUACCGCGUACGACCACUUGGGGACAUCCUUGAGUGGUGAAAGCAGCAAUGCGCCGAUGAAGUGCCUCGCGGCCUAUCAGCUAGUUGGUGAGGAACGGCUCACCAAGGCGACGACGGGUAGCUGGUCUGAGAGGAUGGCCAGCCACAUUGGGACUGAGACACGGCCCAGACUCCUACGGGAGGCAGCAGU